UGGUUUCAAAUUCAUUUCCCCUUUCCCAAAUUUCUCUGUUUUCCCAUACAAUACUCUUUCAAAUACUCUUCAAAAUUUAUUUCUCUGAAUCUAUCCUGAUCCUAAACCAAUUUGAAAUUAGGUUUCAAAAUAUUUUCAAUCAACCAUCACUGUUUGACAGUUCGACGGUAGAGCUUCAAUUGCAUUCGCGAUUCAAUUACUUGAAUGCUGGUUUCUCAUCGUCCAAAACUUAAUCAGUGCAUCAUCAAUGUUAAUUUGAAGAACACACAACCUACAAGAUGAAAUUCGGUCACCAUGGAGGAAGAUCUGCCCGUUGACAACCUUCGAACUGGGUGCAUUAAAAUUAGUUCCCAGGUUGAAUUAGACUUCAACUGAGAAUUCACCCCCCAAAAAAUCAAGCAAGCAUAAUGGAAAAAGAUGUCAAAUUUGUUACUUAUUGCUAUGAUCUGAAUUUUGAGCUGUUGAAGUGUGAUAAGUCUCCGACGUCAGCGUUUGAACUCAGAUAAGUCUCCUUUUGCUUCUCCAAUUUUAAUUCAUAAGUUAAAAGUUAGUUUUUGGUUUUCCAGUAUACAACAGAGAACCUACACUUUCUUUUCAAUGUUUGAUCUUGAUGGAUAAUCAAUGUGGAUCAAUAUACUCAAGCAAUUGGAAUAUGUGUAGAAGAUAUCAAGGGUUACAAAUGUUUUACUCUUGAAAGGCCUUGCUUUUUAUUGGUGGCUUUGCUCAAAGGGGAACAACCAAAUGUAAUAUGAUACUUGUCAUUUGGUCGCCGAGGGUCAAGUGAUGAGUUUGAUGGCGGAGGUUUUGGCUAGAGUGAUGCAGUUCGAGAUGACUACUGGAUUCUGCAUAUAAGGCACUGGUAGGCAAAACAAUAACAAAUGCAUGAAAAUGCAUCUAAGGUGUUUGAAAAGAAGAACUUGAUGUAGAAAAAAGGGUUGAGGCAGAAAACUGGAGAUGAAGCAGUUGUAGGCAAAACAACUUCUCAAUGGGCAGUGGACCCACCAUAUUUCACGGAUUAGGGUGAUCUCUUCUUAGGCUUUUGAUCCUAUAUAUGUUGAGAAAAAGGAAAAUGCAAGAGCAUGUCAUGAUAAAUACGAAGGUUAACGUUUCCUUAUUUACUUUUCUUGAAAGAGAGAGCACAAGCAUGUGAUGUUAGAACCGUGUGCUGCUUAAACUAUUCAACAAUCCAUUUUACAUAGGAUUGAUUAUAUAAUUACAAAAUAAAUAGGAGAUUAUAUAACUAUCCUGAUAACACUAGCUAGCAACCAACUUUAGAAUUGAGAAUAUCAUAAGAAUAUGUUGAAGAAAUUAAUGGUAUCUUUUUUCUGGUUCAAUACAUUACACAUCUUUUGUUUAGUUUCCUUCUUCUGAUUACAUUCUCUACAUGCUUAACUAUUCUCCGUAGAUAUCGUAAGUGUUUUUCAGUACAUAUUAGUUGUUGAGAAAGAAUAAGGUGAAGAAAUGCUUUAAUAUUAUUUUACCGGGAAAAUAAGGAUAAACCUUGAGGUGUUUUCUUAAGACUUUCUAUUGAAAAGAUAGUCGAUGUUGAAGUUGCAGUUUUCUAGAGAUUAGCAAAUGACCAGUUCUGCAAUGCAAACCAUUGCAUUGUCAUCUCUAUAAGCAAUUUUCUGCAGAGCUUGGCUUAUUUUACUUCCAUGCUACCUUUGUUUGAAUUCUAUCUUUGUAUGCUACCCAUAUAUUCCUACAAGAAUGUUUGAAAAAUCUCUUCCACUUUCCUUUACAUGUCAUGUUCUCAAGGCAUAUGCCAGCUUGCCUUUUUGUAGUGCAUAAUAUGCAUCUGUCUAGCUGUGUCCCCAGUUGAAAAUAUACAUACUUGGUGUUUUUAAUUUUUCAUUUUGUAUUUUAACAGGUUUUUACGACUUCUGGUUGAGAAUUUGCACAUACUUGCUUAUUAUUGCUUGGUGGGUUGUGAUCCUUAUGGCUUUGAUAUCUUAACCACUUAUAAA
Molecule: long non-coding RNA, 1967 nt
Organism: Vicia villosa (hairy vetch)
Lineage: Eukaryota; Viridiplantae; Streptophyta; Magnoliopsida; Fabales; Fabaceae
Exons: 4
Source: RefSeq, a predicted model, not a curated record